UACGUAGGGCGCAAGCGUUGUCCGGAAUUAUUGGGCGUAAAGAGCUCGUAGGCGGUCUGUCACGUCGGCUGUGAAAACCCGAGGCUCAACCUCGGGCCUGCAGUCGAUACGGGCAAACUAGAGUACUGCAGGGGAGACUGGAAUUCCUGGUGUAGCGGUGAAAUGCGCAGAUAUCAGGAGGAACACCGGUGGCGAAGGCGGAUCUCUGGGCCUUACCUGACGCUCAGGCACGAAAGCUAGGGGAGCGAACAGG
This 253-nucleotide ribosomal RNA is filed under the name uncultured bacterium. RNAcentral describes it as "partial 16S ribosomal RNA". It matches the Rfam family "Bacterial small subunit ribosomal RNA", at positions 524 to 776 of the family's 1533-position model. The record is from RNAcentral.